Molecule: ribosomal RNA, 700 nt
Filed under: Pseudomonadota bacterium
Lineage: Bacteria; Pseudomonadati; Pseudomonadota
Description: bacterial SSU rRNA
Rfam family: Bacterial small subunit ribosomal RNA
Source: RNAcentral
AUUGAACGCUGGCGGCAUGCCUUACACAUGCAAGUCGAACGGCAGCACGGGAGCAAUUCUGGUGGCGAGUGGCGAACGGGUGAGUAAUAUAUCGGAACGUGCCCAGUCGUGGGGGAUAACGCAGCGAAAGCUGUGCUAAUACCGCAUACGAUCUAUGGAUGAAAGCGGGGGAUCGCAAGACCUCGCGCGAUUGGAGCGGCCGAUAUCAGAUUAGGUUGUUGGUGGGGUAAAAGCCCACCAAGCCGACGAUCUGUAGCUGGUCUGAGAGGACGACCAGCCACACUGGAACUGAGACACGGUCCAGACUCCUACGGGAGGCAGCAGUGGGGAAUUUUGGACAAUGGGCGCAAGCCUGAUCCAGCAAUGCCGCGUGCAGGAUGAAGGCCUUCGGGUUGUAAACUGCUUUUGUACGGAACGAAACGGCCUACUCUAAUACAGUGGGCUAAUGACGGUACCGUAAGAAUAAGCACCGGCUAACUACGUGCCAGCAGCCGCGGUAAUACGUAGGGUGCGAGCGUUAAUCGGAAUUACUGGGCGUAAAGCGUGCGCAGGCGGUUAUAUAAGACAGAUGUGAAAUCCCCGGGCUCAACCUGGGACCUGCAUUUGUGACUGUAUAGCUAGAGUGCGGCAGAGGGGGAUGGAAUUCCGCGUGUAGCAGUGAAAUGCGUAGAUAUGCGGAGGAACACCGAUGGCGAAGGCA